ACGGAAGGCAGCAGUGGGGAAUAUUGGGCAAUGGGGGAAACCCUGACCCAGCAACGCCGCGUGAGGGAAGAAGGUCUUCGGAUUGUAAACCUCUGUCCUUGGGGACGAAGCAGUGACGGUACCUAAGGAGGAGGCCCCGGCUAACUACGUGCCAGCAGCCGCGGUAAUACGUAGGGGGCAAGCGUUGUCCGGAAUCACUGGGCGUAAAGGGUGCGUAGGCGGUUAAUUAAGUCAGAUGUGAAAUACCCGGGCUUAACUCGGGGGCUGCAUCUGAUACUGGUCAACUUGAGUGUAGGAGAGGAAAGCGGAAUUCCUAGUGUAGCGGUGAAAUGCAUAGAUAUUAGGAGGAACACCAGUGGCGAAGGCGGCUUUCUGGACUACAACUGACGCUGAGGCACGAAAGCGUGGGGAGCAAACAGGAUUAGAUACCCUGGUA
Molecule: ribosomal RNA, 436 nt
Filed under: uncultured Christensenella sp.
Lineage: Bacteria; Bacillati; Bacillota; Clostridia; Christensenellales; Christensenellaceae
Description: partial 16S ribosomal RNA
Rfam family: Bacterial small subunit ribosomal RNA
Source: RNAcentral